RNAcentral lists this RNase P RNA (483 nucleotides) under Treponema sp. Its description in RNAcentral is "RNase P RNA component class A". It matches the Rfam family "Bacterial RNase P class A". From Rfam's summary of the family: Ribonuclease P (RNase P) is a ubiquitous endoribonuclease, found in archaea, bacteria and eukarya as well as chloroplasts and mitochondria. Its best characterised activity is the generation of mature 5'-ends of tRNAs by cleaving the 5'-leader elements of precursor-tRNAs. Cellular RNase Ps are ribonucleoproteins. Lineage: Bacteria; Pseudomonadati; Spirochaetota; Spirochaetia; Treponematales; Treponemataceae. The record is from RNAcentral.
GCGGUGAAUGAAGCAGCCGCGGCAUGAGACAUUAUGUCGAGGAAAGUCCGGGCUCCGCAGGGCGCGAUGCCGGGUAACACCCGGGGGUUUCGGGGCCCAAGCUCCGAAACUACGGAAAGUGCAACAGAAAAGAUACCGCCGGCGUCAGGCCUUUUGGCCGGCGCCGGUAAGGGUGAAAUGGCGGGGUAAAAGCCCACCUCGGCGGCGGUAACGCCGCCGGAACUGCAAACCCCAUCGGGAGCAAGGUCAAACAGCGCCUGUCCCUGUUCAGGGAACGGCUCCGUCUUUGACGGAACCGGAAGCUGCCCGCUUAUGGCGCGGGUAGACCGCUUGAGACGGCCGGUAACGGCCGCCCCAGAUAGAUGGCUGCCGCCUCGAACUUCAGGCCGAAGGGCAGAAACGUUUUCCGCAGGAAAACGAAUUUUUGCCUCGAACGCCAGUGAGAGGCAUAAACAGAACCCGGCUUAUGAUUUCACCGCCUUU